This 424-nucleotide ribosomal RNA is filed under the name uncultured bacterium. RNAcentral describes it as "bacterial SSU rRNA". It matches the Rfam family "Archaeal small subunit ribosomal RNA", at positions 322 to 746 of the family's 1478-position model. The record is from RNAcentral.
CCUACGGGGGGCAGCAGUCGGGAAAAUUUUGCAAUGCGCGCAAGCGUGACAGAGCAAGCCAGAGUGCAUUUCCGUAUGGAAAUGCUUUUGUGUGAUGUAAAUAGUCGCACGAAUAAGGACUGGGAGAGACUGGUGCCAGCCGCCGCGGUAAUCCCAGCAGUCCAAGUCGCAGCCACAUUUGUUGGGUCUAAAACAUCCGUAGCUUGCCUUGCAAGUCUCAUGUGAAAUCGGGCCUCUUGAGGGUCCGGCGUGCAUGAGAUACUGCUUGGCUCGAGACCGGGAGACGUACUGAGUACGACAAGGGGAGCGGUUAAAUGUGUUGAUCCUUGUUGGACUAACAACAGCGAAGGCACGGUACGAGAACGGAUCUGACAGUGAGGGAUGAAGGCUAGGGGCGCAAAGUGGAUUAGAUACCCGGGUAGUC